GAGAAGUGAAGUGCCUGGGGUCGAAGGAGCUGCUUGCCAGUGUGCAGCACCAAAACUCUAGCCAUUCUCAGAUGUUAAGGAUUUUUUUUUUUUUUUUCCUGAGACAGAGUCUCGCUCUGUCGCCAGGUUGGAGUGCAGUGGCGUGAUCUCGGCUCACUGCAACCUCCACCUCCCAGGUUCAAGCAAUUCUUCUGCCUCAGCCUCCUGAGUAGCUGGGACUACAGGCACAUGCCACCACGCCCGGCUAAUUUUUAUGUUUUUAGUAGAGAUGGUGUUUCACCAUGUUGGCCAGGAUGGUCUCAAUCUCUUGACCUUGUGAUCCACCUGCCUCAGCCUCCCAAAGUGCUGGGAUUACAGGCAUGAGCCACUGCAUCCGGCCUGUUAAGGAUUUUUAAUGGAUGUCUAGAAAUGAAAGCUCAGGAUCUCUGAAUUGGGCUAUUCAUACCCUCCCAUGUACAUUAAAAAAUACUAUUGGAAAAGUGGCAAGAUGGCUGAAUAGGAACAGCUCCAGUCUGCAGCUCCCAGCGAGAUCAAUGAAGAAGGCAGGUGAUUUCUGCAUUUCCAACUGAGGUACCCGGUUCAUCUGAUUGGGACUGGUUAGACAGUGGGUGCAGCCCACGGAAGGCAAGCAGAAGCAGGGUGGGGUGUCACCUCACCUGGGAAGUCCAAGAGGUCAGGGAACUCCUUACCCUAGCCAGGGGAAGCUGUGAUGGAUUGUGCUAUCCAGCCCAGAUACUAUGCUUUUCCCAUGGUCUUUGCAACCUGCAGACCAGGAGAUUCCCUUGGGUGCCUACACCACCAGGGCCCUGGGUUUCAGGCACAAAAUUGGGCCGCCAUUUGGGCAGACACUGAGCUAGCUGCAGGAGUUUUUUUCAUACCCCAGUGGUGCCUGGAAUGCCAGCGAGAUAGAACCAUUCACUCUCCUGGAAAAGGGGCUGAAGCCAGCGAGCCAGUGGUCUUGUUCAGCGGAUCCUACCCCCAUGGAGCCCAGCAAGCUAUGAUCCACUGGCUUGAAAUUCUCUCUGCAAGCACAGCAGUCUGAAGUUGACCUGGGAUGCUCAAGCUUGGUACGGGGAGGGGUGUCGGCCAUUACGGAGGCUUGAAUAAGCGGUUUUCCCCUCAGUGUUAAAGCCACCAGGAAGUUCACACGGGGCAGAGCCCACCACAGCACAGCAAAGCCGCUAUAGCCAGACUACCUCUCUAGAUUUCUCCUCUUUGGGAAAGGCAUCUCUAAAAGAAAGGCAGCAGCCCCAGUCAGGGGCCUAUAGAUAAAACUCCCAUCUCCCUGGGACAGAGCACCUGGGGAAAGGGGCGGCCGUGGGCGCAGCUUCAGCAGACUUAAACGUUCUUGCCAGCUGGCUCUGAAAAGAGCAGUGGAUCUCCCAACAUAGCACUUGAGCUCUGCUGAGGGACAGACUGCCUGCUCAAGUGGGUCCCUGACCCCUGUGCCUCCUGACUGGGAGACACCUCCCAGCAGGGGUCAACAGACACCUCAUACAGGACAACUCCGGCUGGCAUCUGGUGGGUGCCCCUCUGGGACGAAGCUUCCAGAGGAAGAAGCAGGCAGCAACCUUUGCUUUCUGCAGCCUCCGCUGGUGAUACCGAGGAAAACAGGGUCUGUAGUGGACCUCCAGCAAACUCCAGCACACCUGCAGAAGAAGGGCAUGACUGUUAGAAGGAAAACUAGCAAACAGAAAGCAAUAACAUCAACAUCAACAAAAAGGAGGACCACGCAAAAACCCCAUCCAAAGGUCAACAACAUCAAAACCC
Molecule: long non-coding RNA, 1770 nt
Filed under: Homo sapiens (human)
Lineage: Eukaryota; Metazoa; Chordata; Mammalia; Primates; Hominidae
Description: non-protein coding lnc-CD109-5:1
Source: RNAcentral